Apis cerana (Asiatic honeybee) is the source of this 3213-nucleotide long non-coding RNA. RefSeq lists it as uncharacterized. The record is from RefSeq and is a predicted model, not a curated record. NCBI's taxonomy places the organism in Eukaryota, Metazoa, Arthropoda, Insecta, Hymenoptera, Apidae.
UACAUACCGACUCCUUUCAGUUAUACUCGUUCCCACACGCGUUCUCGACACACACGUGGAUACGUCAUAAUUUACAGUUACUUCUUACACGGAUUAUUACGAAAGGUUUCAAUAUAUCUAUUCAAACACGUUGGAUCGAGCAAAAAGAGAGACGAGUUUCACCACGUGCUGGUAUAGUUAUCGGCCAAGACCGGAACAAAGGAAAGCGGUUUCUCGUUAUUGUAGAAUUUUUUUUAAUUGCAACGUAUAAUUGACAAUAUAUAUAUAUAUAUAUAUAUAUAUAUAUAUAUAUAUAUAUAUAUAUAUAUAUAUAUAUGAUUUUAAAGAAACGAUCGAGUAUUUUUCUUUAAAGUAUGUAUUUUUUUAUAUAUAUAUUGUUUAAAAAGUAAAACAAGAGAAGGAGUUAUUGAAAACCGAUGAAAAUAUCCUCGAUAUUUUUCAACAUUUUAAACGCAAAACAUGUAUCUAUAUACACAGGUGCAUUAUUUGAAUAUUUAUAAGUUCGACUAACGAUUGGAAUACAGAUACAUGCGAUUUACAUGCUAAGAAGCGUUGAAGCGAUUAAACCGUAAUUGGUCGAUUGUAAUAGUUCAAUUUUAGCACGUUAUUGCCAGUUAGUGGUCACGCAUAUGCAUGCGAAGGUGUUUUCUAUUUCUAUACACGGAACAAUGUUAAAGGUGGAGAAUGUUAAUCAAAGUAUCGAACGAGUUCAUCAUCGUGCCAGUCAUAAAUACCACCGUAGUUUACGAUCUCUCCGAGAAGAAAAGAAUUUGCAAAAGCACAAACGGUGUUUAACUCUCAUCGGAGCUUUGAAGACGAUGAUUAGAACCUUUACGGAUGGAAAAAUCGAAAGAAAACAAGUGAAAGUUGGCGUAAAAAUUACGCGGUGCGCACUUAGCGGAUGCAAAAAAAAAAAAAAAAGAAGAAGAAGAAUUUUACUCGAUAACUAGAAAUGAGAUCAUCGGUUCACUCGUUUCGUUGGAGUGCAAUUUUCCAAGAACGGUCGUACAUACGUUCCGAGACGGAUUUAUUAAGAUGAUCUAAAUAAAGGUCUCUUUAAGUAAGAAUAAAAAUCAAGAAUUAAAUUAAAAAUCAAUGAAAGUGGCUCGCUAUCGAGGAAAUUUUUUAUCUUCUUAUCUUCACACCAUUAUUAAACUAUUGGCUACUGAACAUAUAGCGAUUAUAUGUACAGAAAUUUUUUGAUCUCUCAAUGAAACUUGGAAAUCAUUGGCCAGUGUGUAUCACAAUAUGGAACAGUAUUCUUUUAUUUACACUCGGUAAUUAAAAUUACGGUAAAUGAACGCGAUUACGUCGAUCCAGGUAGCAGUGAACGGCGUACAAGUUUACCUUCGAAAAGUCAAGUUCACGCAUAAGUGCGUAAGUGGCAAUCCGCUGUCGAGGCUGGCAGAAAAUUACGAGAAAACGUUUACCGACACUGCGAAAUCUGUCUGCUUGUUUAUUUAUGAAAUCAGUCCAUGUCAAAUUAUAAUAUGAUGGUAUAAUGGUAAUUGAUCCCGAGCAAAUAUAUUUAUAUCUAAGAAAAAAGGAAAAUUGCAAAAUGUGAUUUUUUGUGUUCGUUGCACAAAUAGGAAUGAUAAUAACAGUUGUUUAAUACUGUUAUGUUGUAAAAUUAUGUAAAAAAUUACUCUUAACCAGUUGACCAAUGCAUUUUUUCUCGAGUUGUACGUAAGUAGAAUAAUCUAAAGAUAUUUUUGUAUAAUUUUGUAUUACAUUUACAAUAUAUUCGUAUUUAUUUAUUUAUUUAUUUAUUUUAUAUAUUUUAUCCACUCGAAAACCAAUCGAAACUUUCGGAUUAAACGAAGUUGAAAGAUCGAAAAGAUCUUUAUGCUCCAAUUUUUAUGAACAUCGUUGAGUGACUAAGCUUUAAACAUCGCUUCAUUGGCUGUUCAGGUCUGUUGGUUGAAGUCAAACAAAGUGGUACGGUUUCCCCCGAGCAAUCGAAAUUACUUAGAAAACUUGAGAAAUAUCGAUUAAAAUAUUCACAACUCAGUGAAUAUCAUCAAGAUUUUUGGAUCUUCAAGAGGAUUGCUUCAACUAUUUUUCGAAGCAUUGUUUCCAGGAAUUUGUUCCUUUAAAGUUCCUCUACUUUUUCAUUGGGAAAGAAUUCUAAUGUAUUGCAAUAUUAUGAAAAAAAUUGAAAAACAAUUAAUUUUUUUCUAAUUUCACUUAUUUUAUACGGAGAUUAAAGAGUCGUAAAUAAUUCGAAUAUUAGUAAAAGAAAAUAGCAAAAAAACGAAAAAAAGCAUGAAAAGCAUUUUUACUGUAGUUCGAAUAAGGAAAUGUCCAUUAGUAAAACGAUAAAAUUCAAUGCCAUUAUUUCCAUCGAAUAAAUAUAAAAUUUAAUAUUAUUCCUCGAAAUAAAAAAAUAAUUUUAAUAGUAAUUCUACAAGAAUAUUCGUACACUGAUCCUCAUCGAUCGCGAAUCAAUCGAACCAACGUAAUAUAUCCUCGAUAGAUAGCUCGUCUAACGAUCAUCCGGAUUGCCAAUAAUAUCCUUAAAUAAUAUCUUUUAUCCAGUCAAAGAUCACUGCACGAUAGAAGUUCAGCAACGGUAAAAGGAUUGAUGGGAUCCUGGAUUCGAAGCUACUUUCCAACAGGCAUACUUUAUAUGCUUCAUCGACUUAUUCAAACUUUACUUACAUAUAUGCCUUUUAGUUUAUCAUUUAUGCUGAUCGAAUGGAAAUUUAUGUAACGUAUCGAUUAAAGUGUACUUUGGAAUUCUUUUUCGUCUUAUCGGUAAAUAAAAAAAUAGGAGGAAAAAAAAGCUACAAAAAUACUUUGAAUAAGGCGGAGGGCAAACGUUGCGAUCGUUCCACCGUGUCGGAAUCACGUAGUUCUAAUUCGACGCCAUGACGACCCAGUUCUUGGAUAUUUUAUGCCGUUUCUUUUGGAUUGUCGGUUACAUCUCGUAUCUCGUACGAUUUGAAUAAAUUCACGUUUGAGACUGAGUGAUUAAAGAUAAAAAUAAAAUUAUAAAAGCAGGUAUUUAUUCGAGACUUUGGAUUUAUCAUUAUAAUAAUAAUAAAUAAUUUUUUUAUCGUUCAUAAAAUUUGAAUCGUUAAUGUUUAAUAUUUUUUUUUUCUUUUUAAAUUUCAUUCAUUCAGCUAUUAUUUUUGUUGUUAUUGGACAAGACGAAUUCAUUUCGUCAUAGAUGAUAACUGUUCGUGCAAUAAAGUUCCAUUAAAUUAAAAA